RNAcentral lists this ribosomal RNA (161 nucleotides) under uncultured bacterium. RNAcentral's name for it is "partial 16S rRNA". It matches the Rfam family "Bacterial small subunit ribosomal RNA", at positions 358 to 511 of the family's 1533-position model. The record is from RNAcentral.
GGAAUCUUCGGCAAUGGGGGCAACCCUGACCGAGCAACGCCGCGUGAGUGAAGAAGGUUUUCGGAUCGUAAAGCUCUGUUGUUGGUGAAGAAGGAUAGAGGCAGUAACUGGUCUUUAUUUGACGGUAAUCAACCAGAAAGUCACGGCUAACUACGUGCCAA